GACGAACGCUGGCGGCGUGCUUAACACAUGCAAGUCGAACGAAGUGGCGAACGGGUGAGUAACGCGUAAUCAACCUGCCCUUCAGAGGGGGACAACAGUUGGAAACGACUGCUAAUACCGCAUACUGAAGGAGGGGAUUGCGUCUGAUUAGCUAGUUGGAGGGGUAACGGCCCACCAAGGCCAUGAUCAGUAGCCGGGCUGGUAGGAGUUACCGCCCACAUUGGACUGGGACAAGGCCCAGGAUUCUACGGGAGGGAGCAGGGGGGAAUCUUCCGCAAUGGACGAAAGUCUGACGGAGCAACGCCGCGUGAGUGAUGACGGCCUUCGGGUUGUAAAGCUCUGUUAAUCGGGACGCGGUACCGGAAGAGAAAGCCACGGCUAACUACGUGCCAGCAGCCGCGGUAAUUC
RNAcentral lists this ribosomal RNA (408 nucleotides) under uncultured bacterium. RNAcentral describes it as "partial 16S ribosomal RNA". It matches the Rfam family "Bacterial small subunit ribosomal RNA", at positions 28 to 526 of the family's 1533-position model. The record is from RNAcentral.